GGUAUAAGGUCGUGUCAGAUCUUAACGUGGGGAAUUUUUAAAAUAAACUUUAAAAAAAUGUAAACCAGGACUGACCUAUAGGAUUCUAGGGACGACAUGGGCAAUGUAAAUAUGCCCAAUAAACUUAAAGUGUUGAACUCUGCAACAAACAACACAACAGCUCAAACUUCCCUAUGUGGGCAACACCACUACGAUCUUUAAGGCAGCAGAUCGACAAAAAAAGAAAAAGAAGCAGCAGCAGCAGCCCAGGGUCAGGGCCCUUUUCCCCUGCUUUAAGCUCGUCUCGCCGCGGUUUCCUGUCUCCGCGGCCGCACAAAGGGCUGCGCGACGACGCGCACAAAGAUAGUCUGCUGCGCCACCACCGAUCCCGGAAACCCACCGGCAAGGAGGGAGCGAUCGGCGGUGCACAAUCAGCAGAAAAGCUCCCGACGGUUCCGUUUGGGGAUACAUGCCAUUUGGAUGUGAUCUGUUUAUCGGACGGCUCGCUUACCGAUCCGACAAGAAGGCGAUCAGACAGCAGGGAAAUCGGGUAGUGGAUAAGUGCGCCUUGGCUGGUGGAGUAAUGGCGCUCUCACCUCGGGCUGCGGGCAACUGCGGGACGCGGAGCUCCUCCGGGACUGCUCGGCUCGGAUGUGAUCCUCUAACGUAGCCGAGGCGGAUACGCCGCAAGGUGCAGCACAUCCACUGUACCGAGUCCCAAACUCAUCCGACGCCUCUGUCCCUUUUGUUUAAACCACCAGCUGCAUGUUUCACGCUAACCUCUGCUGUGUAUCUAUUUCAUUAUUAUUUAAACCAUAUCUCAUUUUAAAGUGUAACUGUCAAAAAACAUCGUUCCUGUAAGGCGAUCCAUGGCUGAGAUCAGUGCCAAAAACGAAGACAGGCAGGAGCUCUCCACGGAUCCCGGAAAACCUUGAACCCGGGGGAGUGUCCCGUUUUGGUUCAUUUGAAUAAUUGGAUUGAUUUUUGUCUAAGCGUUACUUAAGAAAUUCUGGGGAAAAGAAAGCGUCGUGUGAAGACCUAAUGCAGUAAAGCUUCCAACAGUACGGCGUUUUAACAAAUAAAUGAGGUAUCUUUAUGCAUGUAAAACUCGUUUUUAGAACAACAUUUUUAGGAAUCGGUGUAAAGGCUCAUAAAUUAAAUGUCUCCCCCAUCCACCAAUACUGAACCAUUAAACUAUUUUAUCAUUCAA
Brienomyrus brachyistius is the source of this 1189-nucleotide long non-coding RNA. RefSeq lists it as uncharacterized. The transcript has 3 exons. NCBI's taxonomy places the organism in Eukaryota, Metazoa, Chordata, Actinopteri, Osteoglossiformes, Mormyridae. The record is from RefSeq and is a predicted model, not a curated record.